This 874-nucleotide ribosomal RNA is filed under the name Phaeodimeriella dilleniae. Its description in RNAcentral is "eukaryotic LSU rRNA". It matches the Rfam family "Eukaryotic large subunit ribosomal RNA", at positions 31 to 937 of the family's 3401-position model. Lineage: Eukaryota; Fungi; Ascomycota; Dothideomycetes; Pseudoperisporiaceae. The record is from RNAcentral.
GACUUAAGCAUAUCAAUAAGCGGAGGAAAAGAAACCAACAGGGAUUGCCCCAGUAACGGCGAGUGAAGCGGCAACAGCUCAAAUUUGAAAUCUGGUCCCCCGGCGGGGGCCCGAGUUGUACUUUGCAGAGGGAGCUUUGGCGAAGGCAGCGAUCCAAGUUCCUUGGGACAGGACGUCGUGGAGGGUGAGAAUCCCGUUCGCGGUCGCCCGCCGCCGCCGUGUAAAGCCCCUUCGACGAGUCGAGUUGUUUGGGAAUGCAGCUCUAAACGGGAGGUAAAUUCCUCCUAAGGCUAAAUACCGGCCAGAGACCGAUAGCGCACAAGUAGAGUGAUCGAAAGAUGAAAAGCACUUUGGAAAGAGAGUCAAACAGCACGUGAAAUUGUUGAAAGGGAAGCGCUUGCAGCCAGACGUGCCCGCGGUCGUCCGCGACCGUGGGCAGGCCAGCAUCGGUUCGGGCGGUCGGACAACGGCCUCUGACACGUAUCUCUCCCGCGGGAGAUAACCUACAGGGGAGGCGACCCACGACCAGCCCGGACCGAGGUCCGCGCAUCCGCCAGGAUGCUGGCGUAAUGGUGGCAAGCGGCCCGUCUUGAAACACGGACCAAGGAGUCUAACACCUGUGCGAGUGUUUGGGUGGCAAGCCCGGACGCGCAAUGAAAGUGAACGGAGGUGGGAACCCCCUCCCGGGGGUGCACCAUCGACCGAUCCUGAAGUUCACGGAUGGAUUUGAGUACGAGCACGGUUGUUGGGACCCGAAAGAUGGUGAACUAUGCUUGAAUAGGGUGAAGCCAGAGGAAACUCUGGUGGAGGCUCGCAGCGGUUCUGACGUGCAAAUCGAUCGUCAAAUUUGGGCAUAGGGGCGAAAGACUAAUCG